Molecule: ribosomal RNA, 434 nt
Filed under: uncultured Oscillospiraceae bacterium
Lineage: Bacteria; Bacillati; Bacillota; Clostridia; Eubacteriales; Oscillospiraceae
Description: partial 16S ribosomal RNA
Rfam family: Bacterial small subunit ribosomal RNA
Source: RNAcentral
ACGGAAGGCAGCAGUGGGGAAUAUUGCGCAAUGGGGGCAACCCUGACGCAGCAACGCCGCGUGAAGGAAGAAGGUCUUCGGAUUGUAAACUUUUGUCUUGAGGGACGAAAAGGACGGUACCUCGGGAGGAAGCCACGGCUAACUACGUGCCAGCAGCCGCGGUAAUACGUAGGUGGCAAGCGUUGUCCGGAUUUACUGGGUGUAAAGGGCGUGUAGGCGGGUUGAUAAGUCAGAUGUGAAAUACCGGGGCUCAACCCCGGGGCUGCAUUUGAAACUGUCAGUCUUGAGUGUCGGAGAGGUAAGCGGAAUUCCUAGUGUAGCGGUGAAAUGCGUAGAUAUUAGGAGGAACACCGGUGGCGAAGGCGGCUUACUGGACGACAACUGACGCUGAGGCGCGAAAGCGUGGGUAGCAAACAGGAUUAGAUACCCUGGUA